This 56-nucleotide transfer RNA is filed under the name Cranichis apiculata. Its description in RNAcentral is "partial transfer RNA-Phe". It matches the Rfam family "tRNA", at positions 1 to 54 of the family's 71-position model. From Rfam's summary of the family: Transfer RNA (tRNA) molecules are approximately 80 nucleotides in length. Their secondary structure includes four short double-helical elements and three loops (D, anti-codon, and T loops). The record is from RNAcentral. Lineage: Eukaryota; Viridiplantae; Streptophyta; Magnoliopsida; Asparagales; Orchidaceae.
GUCGGGAUAGCUCAGUUGGUAGAGCAGAGGACUGAAAAUCCUCGGGUCACCAGUUC